AGCGAACGCUGGCGGCAGGCUUAACACAUGCAAGUCGAGCGGGCACUUCGGUGUCAGCGGCCGACGGGUGAGUAACACGUGGGAACGUACCCUUUGGUUCGGAAUAACGCUGGGAAACUAGCGCUAAUACCGGAUACGCCCUUUUGGGGAAAGGCUUGCUGCCGAAGGAUCGGCCCGCGUCUGAUUAGCUAGUUGGUGGGGUAAUGGCCUACCAAGGCGACGAUCAGUAGCUGGUCUGAGAGGAUGAUCAGCCACACUGGGACUGAGACACGGCCCAGACCCCCGCGGGGGGGAAGGGGGGGGGAAUAUUGGAAAAGGGGGGAAAGCCUGACCAAGCAAGGCCGGGUGAGAAAAGAAGGCCUAGGGGUGGAAAAGCUUUUUUGUCCGGGACGAUAAUGAGGGUACCGGAAAAAUAAGCCCCGGCUAACUUCGGG
Molecule: ribosomal RNA, 434 nt
Filed under: uncultured bacterium
Lineage: Bacteria
Description: partial 16S ribosomal RNA
Rfam family: Bacterial small subunit ribosomal RNA
Source: RNAcentral